Molecule: long non-coding RNA, 990 nt
Filed under: Salmo salar (Atlantic salmon)
Lineage: Eukaryota; Metazoa; Chordata; Actinopteri; Salmoniformes; Salmonidae
Description: lncRNA (ENSSSAG00000118710.1)
Source: RNAcentral
GGUGCUUCUACAUUUGUGUGUGUCCAUGCGUUUUUGUGUUUGUGCAUGUGAGAGAGAGAGAGUGUGUGUGUGUUAUUGGCUCUGGUAGUGUGUGUGAUGGCUUCACCGGAACACUGUGGGGAUUCUGGACAUCUCUCCAAGCCUGCAUCACACAGAGAGAAAAACGGCAGGAGAUGCUGAUUGGCUAAUGUUUCGUAGUGACAUUUUACUGGCAGGCGGUCAGGACGUUACAUCACCGUCGACUGUGUGGACACAAACUGGUAUUAUUUCUGUCGCUGUUUCUAACGCGUCCUAAUCUGAAUCCCAAAUAGCACCAAUCUCCUUCUUUUGACCAGAGACCCUAUAUAAAAUAGUGCCGUACUUUUGACCAGAGACCCUAUAUAAAGUAGUGCACUACUUUUAACCAGAGACCCUAUAUAAAGUAGUGCCGUACUUUUGACCAGAGACCCUAUAUAAGGUUGUGCACUACUUUUAACCAGAGACCCUAUAUAAAGUAGUGCCGUACUUUUGACCAGAGACCCUAUAUAAGGUAGUGCACUACUUUUGACCAGAGACCCUAUAUAAAAUAGUGUACUACUUUUGACCAGAGACCCUAUAUAAAACAGUGCAAACUUUCACUUUUGACCAGAGUCCCUAUAUAGUGCACUACUUUUGGCCAGAUUCCUAUGGGCUGUAUAGGGAAUGCUGUGCCAUUUGAGACACACAUGGUAAUGUCAUAUUCAGCCGCAGGUCUGACUCAUACUCUCUCCUUCCACCCCCUCCACCCUUCUCUCUCUCACUCUCUCUCCCUCCCAUCCACUCUCAUCCCCUCUCGCUCACCCUCUCUCAUCCCAUUCUAUCUCUCUUUCCCACCCUUUCUCUCCCUUCUCACAUUGUCACAGCAGGGCAGAUGUUCAGGCAGGGCAGAGGUAGAGUUGAGGCAGGGCAGAGGUAGAGUUGAGGCAGGGCAGAGGUGGGGUUGAGGCAGGGCAGAGGUAGAGUUGAGGCAGG